This 516-nucleotide ribosomal RNA is filed under the name uncultured Pseudomonadota bacterium. RNAcentral describes it as "bacterial SSU rRNA". It matches the Rfam family "Bacterial small subunit ribosomal RNA", at positions 370 to 896 of the family's 1533-position model. The record is from RNAcentral. Lineage: Bacteria; Pseudomonadati; Pseudomonadota.
AAUGGGCGCAAGCCUGAUGAGGCGACGCCGCGUGAGGGAUGACGGCCUUCGGGUUGUAAACCUCUUUCAGUAGGGAAGAAGCGAAAGUGACGGUACCUGCAGAAGAAGCGCCGGCUAACUACGUGCCAGCAGCCGCGGUAAUACGUAGGGCGCAAGCGUUAUCCGGAUUUAUUGGGCGUAAAGAGCUCGUAGGCGGUUUGUCGCGUCUGCCGUGAAAGUCCGAGGCUCAACCUCGGAUCUGCGGUGGGUACGGGCAGACUAGAGUGAUGUAGGGGAGACUGGAAUUCCUGGUGUAGCGGUGAAAUGCGCAGAUAUCAGGAGGAACACCGAUGGCGAAGGCAGGUCUCUGGGCAUUUACUGACGCUGAGGAGCGAAAGCAUGGGGAGCGAACAGGAUUAGAUACCCUGGUAGUCCAUGCCGUAAACGUUGGGCACUAGGUGUGGGGGACAUUCCACGUUUUCCGCGCCGUAGCUAACGCAUUAAGUGCCCCGCCUGGGGAGUACGGCCGCAAGGCUA